AUGUUACAUGUUACCCACGUGUAUACCCGAAUCAACCCAUUAUCUUAACAGGUGCUUAUAGGGUUACCCGAUAAUGACCCGAUUCGUUAUCGUGUCGAUCUGAACACCUAUUAAUUUCGUGUCGUGUCGUGUCGGGUUAUUGGGUCAUGUCAUGAAUUGCCAGGCCUACAUAAAUAUGAAAAAUCGUCACAUUUGACUAUAUGUGACGAAAUUUCAGCGUCACAAUUAUCGUCACCUAUACAGCGUCACCGAUAGUUUAAGUGACGAAUACUGGAGUCGCCACAUAUUUUCCUUUUACGUGAUGCUUCUUCUGUCACUAUUAUUCUAACAUGCGACGAAAUUAGCGUCACAAAAUACAAAAUUCAGUGACCUAUGUUUUUCGUCUCAUAUCAUACUUAUAAGUGAUGCUUUUUGGGCCACUCAAUAUGAUCCAAUAAUUAUAUAAUUACACUAAGUGAUGUUGAAAUCGUCACAUAUUCUUUUGAUGGGUGAAGCGGCUUAUGUCACAUAUGUUAUAAUCAAAUAACAAUUUAGGAAUAAUAUUUGAGGAAUCCAUUACUUAUUCGUGUUUCGUAAUCUAGAAUAGCAACUCAUAACAAUUAUAAGGUAAUACUUCGCAUUUUCAUUAAUCAACAAUUAAACCACGUAAGUUCGAAUAUGUUCAACAACUAUACAUCCAACAAAAUAACAUAAACAUCCCAAAAUCAAUCUAACUCAUGGUGACCUAUCUUAAUAAUAGCAAUUUGUAAAGAAAGGUACCAAGGCCUAUACAUAGACCGUUUAAGGUACUAAUGAUAGGAGCAUAUUUAUGCGCCUUAGUUAGCUUGUUCUUGUGCAUUUACGUUGUUUUCCUUAGUAAAGUAGUCUUUUAAGCUAGUUUUAUGUGUUUUCAGGUUCUAAGGGAAAAGUAUGCAAAAGGAUGCAUUUUGGAGCCUUUUGGAGCAAUUUAGAGCUUGGAAUGGACAUCAUAUGCUUGGAGCCAAGAGGAUGGACGAAAUUGAAGAUUUGAAGAUGAUGUUUCCUACUUGAAAAAGGUUUCCUAGUCGAAGUAGGAAAGCGCCUAAUUAAAAGAUGAAAUCCUAAUCAACAAAGGAUUCCUAAUUGAAGAAGGAUUCCUAAUCUACGAGGGAUUCCUAGUUGA
Molecule: long non-coding RNA, 1141 nt
Filed under: Malus domestica (apple)
Lineage: Eukaryota; Viridiplantae; Streptophyta; Magnoliopsida; Rosales; Rosaceae
Description: long non-coding RNA (MDOM_LNC017989)
Source: RNAcentral